RNAcentral lists this microRNA precursor (104 nucleotides) under Marmota monax (woodchuck). Lineage: Eukaryota; Metazoa; Chordata; Mammalia; Rodentia; Sciuridae. The record is from RNAcentral.
AGUGGGAUAGCUGGGUCAAAAUGGUUGUUCCAUUCCAAGUUUUCUGAGGAAUCUCCAUACUGCUUUCCAAAGUGGUUGCACCAAUUUGCAGUGCCACUAGCAGU